Molecule: ribosomal RNA, 497 nt
Filed under: uncultured bacterium
Lineage: Bacteria
Description: partial 16S ribosomal RNA
Rfam family: Bacterial small subunit ribosomal RNA
Source: RNAcentral
GAUGAACGCUGGCGGCGUGCCUAAUACAUGCAAGUCGAGCGAACAGACGAGGAGCUUGCUCCUCUGACGUUAGCGGCGGACGGGUGAGUAACACGUGGAUAACCUACCUAUAAGACUGGGAUAACUUCGGGAAACCGGAGCUAAUACCGGAUAAUAUAUUGAACCGCAUGGUUCAAUAGUGAAAGACGGUUUUGCUGUCACUUAUAGAUGGAUCCGCGCCGCAUUAGCUAGUUGGUAAGGUAACGGCUUACCAAGGCAACGAUGCGUAGCCGACCUGAGAGGGUGAUCGGCCACACCGGAACUGAGACACGGUCCAGACUCCUACGGGAGGCAGCAGUAGGGAAUCUUCCGCAAUGGGCGAAAGCUUGACGGAGCAACGCCGCGUGAGUGAUGAAGGUCUUCGGAUCGUAAAACUCUGUUAUUAGGGAAGAACAAAUGUGUAAGUAACUAUGCACGACUUGACGGUACCUAAUCAGAAAGCCACGGCUAACUACGUG